AUGGAGUUGAGUUUGUCUCGUACGCUUCACCUUUUUAAUAUCUUUCGUGAGUAUGAUGGAAAGGAUAAUUGUGCUCAAGUGCUAGAAGAAGAAAUCUAUAGAAUGUUUGGAACUAAAUAUGUGAAUGAUGAGCAUGAUUGCAAUGUUGUUAGUAUGAAUUCCUUGAAUAUCCAUGAUGCUAAUGAUAUGCAAAGCCACAAGCUUGGGGAAGCUAUGUUUGAUGAAGAUGAUAUUUUUUGUCCCCCAAGCUUUGAUGAGCAAAUUUACUAUGAUGAAAGCACGCCUCCUAUCUAUGAUGAUUAUUGUGAUGACACGUAUGCUUUAAAGAAUAAUGAUAACCAUGAAACAUGUCAUCUUGAUCUUAAUUUUCAAUCACAUGAUAGUUAUUUUGUUGAGUUUGCUCCCACUACUAUUCAUGAGAAGAAUUUUGCUUAUGAGGAGAGUAGUAAAUUUUCUAUGCUAGUAGAUCAUGAAAAGAAUGCUUUAGGUGCUGGUUAUAUUGUUUAA
This 507-nucleotide ribosomal RNA is filed under the name Triticum aestivum (bread wheat). RNAcentral's name for it is "partial small subunit ribosomal RNA". The record is from RNAcentral. Lineage: Eukaryota; Viridiplantae; Streptophyta; Magnoliopsida; Poales; Poaceae.